CGCGCAGGCGGACAAUUAAGUCAGAUGUGAAAUCUCGGGGCUCAACCCCGAAACUGCGUCUGAAACUGGUUGUCUAGAAUCUCGGAGAGGGAAGGGGAAUUUCGCAUGUAGGGGUAAAAUCCGUAGAGAUGCGAAGGAACACCAGAGGCGAAGGCGCCUUCCUGGACGAGUAUUGACGCUGAGGCGCGAAAGCGUGGGUAGCGAACAGGAUUAGAUACCCUGGUAGUCC
This 229-nucleotide ribosomal RNA is filed under the name uncultured bacterium. RNAcentral describes it as "partial 16S ribosomal RNA". It matches the Rfam family "Bacterial small subunit ribosomal RNA", at positions 568 to 796 of the family's 1533-position model. The record is from RNAcentral.